This 1136-nucleotide long non-coding RNA is filed under the name Homo sapiens (human). RNAcentral's name for it is "HSALNT0404314". The record is from RNAcentral. Lineage: Eukaryota; Metazoa; Chordata; Mammalia; Primates; Hominidae.
AAGGAGGGCCGGCUGCCCUGGGACCGGAGCCCAGCACUUGGGACUUCCGGGGCCCUGUAGGAGCCGGGGUCCUGGCGAGCACUCCCCAGGCCUCACCCCCGGCCCAACCAAUCCAUGGCCACUGAGUUUUCCAGCCCUGAGAGUUCGGUCAGUGCUGGCUCUGACUUUGGGGAUUUUCUGAGGAAUGUUUCAUUCAGCCCCAUCUAGAACAUCCCUGGCGUUGGAGCAGCAGAAUGCUAAGAUGGGCUGGCUCAGUCUGGGAGCCAUGAGCAGAGGGAGGAGGAGGCCUGCGGUGCUUCCACGCGGGGCCUGAGAUGCUUGGAGCUCAGAGCAGCACACACUCCAGGUGCUGGACCACAGCGGUGAAGGACCUGCGGCCUCCACAGCAAGCUCUCCCGGAUUGGCCUGCGACUCCGGGAGCACUGGGUCGCGUCCUACAGUUCUCAGAAUCUCCCAGCCAGGGCCUGCGUGCGGGGCGUGCCCGGCUGGUUCUGUUGACCGAGGGUCAGCACGCAGGUGGGCAGGUGGCUUCCCAGCACCAAGAAGAGGACCUGGCCUGUGGGUCCUUCUGAGAGGCUGCCCUCAAGAGCAGGUAUGAGAGUGAGUGAGUGCACAGCCUGAAUCCGGCUCAAUGAAGACAAAGAUGAUGGUGAGAAAAGUGUCCAUGAGCCCUUGGAGAAAACCCUCUCCAGCAAGAGGGACACCUUAGCCACCUGUGGCCUGGCCCGGAUCACCUGAGCAGGCCACUGCCAGAGGCCGCGCGGGAGAGGACACGGCUGGCCUGGGCCCCACAGCCCUGCUGGGCGGCAGAGCUCCGGGUCACGGGCCUCACCAAGGUGGACAGAGACCGUCUUCCAGCAGACAGACCUGGUCCAGAUGACCCGAGCAACUGGGUGCUAGUGCAAGCGUUACAGGAGGGAAUGGGGGUGCGGAGCCCUGUGCGCCAGAAACCUUACAGAACCAGCUCCCGGGGGCCUGCGGAUUCACCCCAAAGCCAAUGAGGCCCUCCUGACCCAAGGGGAAAUGGAGAAACUGAGGCAGGACGGAGCUGACUCCAACCACCCCCUACUUCUCUCUCUGUCUCUCUCACACAUACACCACACACAGCACUCCCUCACACACACAAACCACACACA